This 666-nucleotide unclassified non-coding RNA is filed under the name Hevea brasiliensis (rubber tree). The record is from RNAcentral. Lineage: Eukaryota; Viridiplantae; Streptophyta; Magnoliopsida; Malpighiales; Euphorbiaceae.
UGUUAUAUAUAUUUAGAAACUCCUGUAACCUCAGUCUAGGGUGGAUAGGAGAACGCACUCCAAGGAUCUUUGCCCAUCUGCCAUGAGCAGCAUCACAAGCUGCAAAAACGGCUUCUGCAUUUUCUCUCAAUACAUCAGCUCUGAAAUUUCUCGAUAAAGUCGAUGACGUUAUACCCUCAUUUCCAUUCCCGUGAGCAGAAGAGACCUUGGAAGAGUUCCUUUGCACAGAAAGUUGCAGCGAGGAAUUUACCUGAUCGACGGUUUCAUGAGCUGUUUCUGAUGCCGCUGCUCCAAGUGCAAUUGCAGCAGCAACUGAGUCAGCAGCAUAAUGGCCAUCAAGAUGGCACAAAAUCCACUCAAUGGCUCUCUUAACUUCAGAUGCCUGUGCUAAGUGUGCCUGCACUAUCAGGAAAACAGCCUUCAAAAGAUGAACAAAACAUUCAGGCGACAAGCUUCUCAAUCUACUGGCAAGGGAUGAGCUUCCACCAUCAGCAUCAACUGCUCGUUCUCCUGCAACAAAAUCUGAAUCCAUAGGUUGGGCACCAAGCACCCGUAGCAGUUCUUCAACUGCCAUCUUAAUGGCAGUUUUCAUGUCAGCCGUAAGAGUGUCAUGGUAUAUUCUCAAUACAGCAGGAAGUUUUGCGGUUCUAAGCAACCCAAUAACAA